RNAcentral lists this ribosomal RNA (497 nucleotides) under uncultured bacterium. RNAcentral describes it as "partial 16S ribosomal RNA". It matches the Rfam family "Bacterial small subunit ribosomal RNA", at positions 28 to 507 of the family's 1533-position model. The record is from RNAcentral.
GAUGAACGCUGGCGGCGUGCCUAAUACAUGCAAGUCGAGCGAACGGACGAGAAGCUUGCUUCUCUGAUGUUAGCGGCGGACGGGUGAGUAACACGUGGAUAACCUACCUAUAAGACUGGGAUAACUUCGGGAAACCGGAGCUAAUACCGGAUAAUAUUUUGAACCGCAUGGUUCAAAAGUGAAAGACGGUCUUGCUGUCACUUAUAGAUGGAUCCGCGCUGCAUUAGCUAGUUGGUAAGGUAACGGCUUACCAAGGCAACGAUGCAUAGCCGACCUGAGAGGGUGAUCGGCCACACUGGAACUGAGGCACGGUCCAGACUCCUACGGGAGGCAGCAGUAGGGAAUCUUCCGCAAUGGGCGAAAGCCUGACGGAGCAACGCCGCGUGAGUGAUGAAGGUCUUCGGACCGUAAAACUCUGUUAUUAGGGAAGAACAUAUGUGUAAGUAACUGUGCACAUCUUGACGGUACCUAAUCAGAAAGCCACGGCUAACUACGUG